Sycon ciliatum is the source of this 721-nucleotide long non-coding RNA. RefSeq lists it as uncharacterized. The transcript has 3 exons. The record is from RefSeq and is a predicted model, not a curated record. NCBI's taxonomy places the organism in Eukaryota, Metazoa, Porifera, Calcarea, Leucosolenida, Sycettidae.
ACAAUGGUUUUCAGUUACACUGACAAGGAACAUGAAAUUCCUUGUAAUACUUUGGGCUCACCAGGCAUGAGUGUCACUUGGACAUCCACUAUAAGUCUUACAACAAAGACAAUAAACACAACGAAUGGAGCAUCUCCAAAUGGACAGUUGGAGUAUGUCAACUCCACUUUCAGUUUCACCGGGAAAGAUUCGGGUAUCAUGUUUAACAGGGCCCACCCAGCUGGCGCUAUGUUCAACCUGACCUGCACUACUGCCUACCCGACCCGUUACAAAUGUAGGUUUGUAGAAGGUCAAAAUCCACAGCCUCCGACAGGUGUACUGGACCGAUGUGAUAAAGCAGUUGCACCUUUGUCAACAACGUACACCAUCAGCCUGCGAGCUCCAUGUCCCCAGCUCAACGCAUCCCUUGGUUACCUAUACAAUGAUACGCUUUCCAAUGACCCUGGAACUGUUCUUGGCAUUUCGUGUCGUGUUGGCUUGACUAUGGCUAGUAGUAUGAGUAGCAUUGACUCUAUCUCAUGUCAGGCUAAUGGAAUGUGGACAGCUCUUCCAAACUGCACAGUGGUUAUGUGCACUGUGCCAACACUCAUGAAUGGCAAUGCAGACAAGACAAUGGUGUCCUAUCUUCAGAGUGUGAAUUACACGUGUAAUACUGGUUAUAGAAUGAAUGGAUCUGCAACAGCAACGUGCAGUGCUGAUGGAACUCUACAAAUGCCUACUU